Molecule: ribosomal RNA, 301 nt
Filed under: uncultured bacterium
Lineage: Bacteria
Description: partial 16S ribosomal RNA
Rfam family: Bacterial small subunit ribosomal RNA
Source: RNAcentral
CAGUCGCCGCGGGAAUACGGAGGGGGCUAGCGUUGUUCGGAAUUACUGGGCGUAAAGCGCACGUAGGCGGCUUUGUAAGUUAGAGGUGAAAGCCCGGAGCUCAACUCCGGAAUUGCCUUUAAGACUGCAGAGCUAGCAGGUGAGAGAGGUGAGUGGAAUUCCGAGUGUAGAGGUGAAAUUCGUAGAUAUUCGGAAGAACACCAGUGGCGAAGGCGGCUCACUGGCUCAUACUGGACGCUGAGGUGCGAAAGCGUGGGGAGCAAACAGGAUUAGAUACCCGAGUAGUCCUUGUCUCUUAUAC